GUUUCCAUAGAUGUCCCCUCUGAUUUAUCCUUCCAUAAAAGUACAAUAAAAUCCCAAGUGAUAUUCAUUGGUCAAUACAUAAAAAUUACUUAUAAUCAACAAUGUUUAUUUAAUUCUUUAUAAAACGUCGCACACAAGCAGUUGCAUUGGAUACAAAAUAGACAGUUUAAAGACAGAUCACUCGACUAGUUUUCUCUCAGUUUGAUCCAUGGUUUGAUCUUCGUCCUUCGAUCUUUGAUAAGUAUUACCGUUAUCUAUUCCACAGUUUGUUGAAAGAAAG
Paramuricea clavata is the source of this 280-nucleotide non-coding RNA. The record is from the annotation of a GenBank genome assembly. NCBI's taxonomy places the organism in Eukaryota, Metazoa, Cnidaria, Anthozoa, Malacalcyonacea, Plexauridae.